This 460-nucleotide ribosomal RNA is filed under the name uncultured bacterium. RNAcentral's name for it is "partial 16S ribosomal RNA". It matches the Rfam family "Bacterial small subunit ribosomal RNA", at positions 338 to 795 of the family's 1533-position model. The record is from RNAcentral.
CCUACGGGUGGCAGCAGUGAGGAAUAUUGGUCAAUGGACGAGAGUCUGAACCAGCCAAGUAGCGUGAAGGAUGACUGCCCUAUGGGUUGUAAACUUCUUUUAUAUGGGAAUAAAACGUUCCACGUGUGGGAUUUUGUAUGUACCAUAUGAAUAAGGAUCGGCUAACUCCGUGCCAGCAGCCUCGGUAAUACGGAGGGACCGAGCGUUAUCCGGAUUUAUUGGGUUUAAAGGGAGCGUAGGUGGAUUGUUAAGUCAGUUGUGAAAGUUUGCGGCUCAACCGUAAAAUUGCAGUUGAAACUGGCAGUCUUGAGUACAGUAGAGGUGGGCGGAAUUCGUGGUGUAGCGGUGAAAUGCUUAGAUAUCACGAAGAACUCCGAUUGCGAAGGCAGUUCACUGGACUGCAACUGACACUGAGGCUCGAAAGUGUGGGUAUCAAACAGGAUUAGAUACCCUGGUAGUC